GAAAUCAUUUUAUAAAAUCAAAGCUAAUUCAUUUCAAAAAUCUUACUUUUGUUUUUCUCCAGGAAACAAAGUCCCAGGAUAUUUGGAUGGUUGAUUUGAAUCCUUAUCUGCUUGAGGAGACGCUGCAUCAUAUAAGGGUUCAGCCUCAACCUUUUGUAGAGAAAAGAGCUUUCCUCCACUGUUUUGGGAAAUGUCAUAUUCUUAUCUUGAAAGAGUAAUCUCAAAAGUGAAGAUCUUAGAGCCAACAGGAACUAAAAGGACAGGAUGUCCUUGAGCCAUCCAAUAGAGUUGGAAGACCUUGGAUUCUGGCAUCUGAGAGAUAUCUGCAUUCUGAUGUAUUCUCUGCAAAUGCCACAAGGAAGAUGGUCAUGCAGGAGUUCUCUGUAUUUUUUCAGGUUUGUAUGUGAGUAAGAAAGUUUAAUUCUGAUGUGAAUUUUUGGGAUAUUCAUUUGGACCACACAUCAAAGCCACA
This 472-nucleotide long non-coding RNA is filed under the name Aotus nancymaae (Ma's night monkey). RNAcentral's name for it is "lncRNA (ENSANAG00000039449.1)". The record is from RNAcentral. Lineage: Eukaryota; Metazoa; Chordata; Mammalia; Primates; Aotidae.